Molecule: RNase P RNA, 424 nt
Filed under: Pacificoceanicola oceani
Lineage: Bacteria; Pseudomonadati; Pseudomonadota; Alphaproteobacteria; Rhodobacterales; Roseobacteraceae
Description: Tropicibacter oceani RNase P RNA component class A
Rfam family: Bacterial RNase P class A
About the family: Ribonuclease P (RNase P) is a ubiquitous endoribonuclease, found in archaea, bacteria and eukarya as well as chloroplasts and mitochondria. Its best characterised activity is the generation of mature 5'-ends of tRNAs by cleaving the 5'-leader elements of precursor-tRNAs.
Source: RNAcentral
GCGGAAGGCCGGACGGCCGCUGCCCCGGAAACGGGGGAGAGGAAAGUCCGGACUCGCUGAAGCAUCGGUGCCGGGUAACUCCCGGGCAGGGCAACCUGACGGAAAGCGCCACAGAAAACAAACCGCCGUCGCACCCGCGGUUCGCCAAGGGAGCCUGCGACGGUAAGGAUGAAACGGUGGGGUAAGAGCCCACCGGGGGACUGGCAACAGGCCCCGCACGGCAAGCCCCACCGGGAGCAACGCCAAAUAGGGACGUCGCGCACGCCUGAUCCUUUACGGGAUAUCGGUGCAGGGCCGCUUCAGCCCGAGACGUCCGGGUUGGCAGCUAGAGUUGGCAGGCAACUGUCCGCCUAGAGGAAUGGUCGUCGAGGGGUUCGGGCAACCGGACCCUGAACAGAAUCCGGCUUACAGGCCUUCCGCGCAU